UACGUAGGUAGCAAGCGUUAUUCGGAUUUACUGGGCGUAAAGGGUCCGCAGGGGGCCUGCCAAGUCUGAUGUGAAAUGCCACGGCUCAACCGUGGAACGGCAUUGGAAACUGGCGGGCUAGAGUGCAUGAGGGGUGAGCAGAAUUCCUGGUGUAGCGGUGGAAUGCGUAGAUAUCAGGAGGAAUACCGAUGGCGAAGGCGGCUCACUGGCGUGCAACUGACCCUCAGGGACGAAAGCGUGGGUAGCAAACAGG
Molecule: ribosomal RNA, 253 nt
Filed under: uncultured bacterium
Lineage: Bacteria
Description: partial 16S ribosomal RNA
Rfam family: Bacterial small subunit ribosomal RNA
Source: RNAcentral